Transfer RNA from Klebsormidium nitens, 73 nucleotides. It matches the Rfam family "tRNA". Rfam says of the family: Transfer RNA (tRNA) molecules are approximately 80 nucleotides in length. Their secondary structure includes four short double-helical elements and three loops (D, anti-codon, and T loops). NCBI's taxonomy places the organism in Eukaryota, Viridiplantae, Streptophyta, Klebsormidiophyceae, Klebsormidiales, Klebsormidiaceae. The record is from Rfam.
GGGUGCGUAGCUCAGUUGGCAGAGCAUUGGGCUUUUAACCUAAUGGUCGCAGGUUCGAACCCUGCCGCACCCA